Molecule: transfer RNA, 73 nt
Filed under: Cordylochernes scorpioides
Lineage: Eukaryota; Metazoa; Arthropoda; Arachnida; Pseudoscorpiones; Chernetidae
Description: tRNA-Thr
Rfam family: tRNA
About the family: Transfer RNA (tRNA) molecules are approximately 80 nucleotides in length. Their secondary structure includes four short double-helical elements and three loops (D, anti-codon, and T loops).
Source: RNAcentral
UCCAGGGUAGCCUAGUGGACAUGGCAUCUGCCCGGUAAGCGGAUCAUUGUGGGUUCGAUUCCCAUCCCUGGAC